RNAcentral lists this unclassified non-coding RNA (429 nucleotides) under soil metagenome. RNAcentral's name for it is "partial contains 5.8S ribosomal RNA, internal transcribed spacer 2, and large subunit ribosomal RNA". The stretch from base 1 to 120 matches the Rfam family "5.8S ribosomal RNA", at positions 35 to 154 of the family's 154-position model. The record is from RNAcentral.
GAUGAAGAACGUAGCGAAAUGCGAUACGUAAUGUGAAUUGCAGAAUUCAGUGAAUCAUCGAAUCUUUGAACGCAUAUUGCGCUCUCUGGUAUUCCGGAGAGCAUGCUUGUUUGAGUAUCAGUAAACACCUCAACUCCCUUUUCUUUUUUGAAAUGGGAGCUGGACUUGAGUGAUCCCAACGCUUUUCUCACCGGAAAGUGGCGGGUUACUUGAAAUGCAGGUGCAGCUGGACUUUUCUCUGAGCUAUAAGCAUAUCUAUUUAGUCUGCCUAAAAACAGAUUAUUACCUUUGCUGCAGCUAACAUAAAGGAGAUUAGUUCUUGUGCUGACUGAUGCAGGAUUCACAGAGACAGCUUCGGCUGACUUUGUAAACUCGAUCUCAAAUCAAGUAAGACUACCCGCUGAACUUAAGCAUAUCAAUAAGCGAGGA